Molecule: ribosomal RNA, 896 nt
Filed under: uncultured bacterium
Lineage: Bacteria
Description: bacterial SSU rRNA
Rfam family: Bacterial small subunit ribosomal RNA
Source: RNAcentral
UAGAGUUUGAUCCUGGCUCAGGACGAACGCUGGCSGCGCGCCUAACACAUGCAAGUCGAACGAGAGAUGAGGAGCUUGCUCCUCAGAUCGAGUGGCGAACGGGUGAGUAACGCGUGAGGAACCUGCCUCAAAGAGGGGGACAACAGUUGGAAACGACUGCUAAUACCGCAUAAGCCCACGGCUCGGCAUCGAGCAGAGGGAAAAGGAGCAAUCCGCUUUGAGAUGGCCUCGCGUCCGAUUAGCUAGUUGGUGAGGUAACGGCCCACCAAGGCGACGAUCGGUAGCCGGACUGAGAGGUUGAACGGCCACAUUGGGACUGAGACACGGCCCAGACUCCUACGGGAGGCAGCAGUGGGGAAUAUUGCACAAUGGGGGAAACCCUGAUGCAGCGACGCCGCGUGGAGGAAGAAGGUCUUCGGAUUGUAAACUCCUGUUGUUGAGGAAGAUAAUGACGGUACUCAACAAGGAAGUGACGGCUAACUACGUGCCAGCAGCCGCGGUAAAACGUAGGUCACAAGCGUUGUCCGGAAUUACUGGGUGUAAAGGGAGCGCAGGCGGGAGAACAAGUUGGAAGUGAAAUCCAUGGGCUCAACCCAUGAACUGCUUUCAAAACUGUUUUUCUUGAGUAGUGCAGAGGUAGGCGGAAUUCCCGGUGUAGCGGUGGAAUGCGUAGAUAUCGGGAGGAACACCAGUGGCGAAGGCGGCCUACUGGGCACCAACUGACGCUGAGGCUCGAAAGUGUGGGUAGCAAACAGGAUUAGAUACCCUGGUAGUCCACACCGUAAACGAUGAUUACUAGGUGUUGGAGGAUUGACCCCUUCAGUGCCGCAGUUAACACAAUAAGUAAUCCACCUGGGGAGUACGACCGCAAGGUUGAAACUCAAAGGAAUUGACGG